RNAcentral lists this ribosomal RNA (39 nucleotides) under Polylepis rugulosa. RNAcentral's name for it is "partial 26S ribosomal RNA". The record is from RNAcentral. Lineage: Eukaryota; Viridiplantae; Streptophyta; Magnoliopsida; Rosales; Rosaceae.
CGUGACCCUAGGUCAGGUAGGGUUAGUCAUUGAGUUUAA